This 492-nucleotide ribosomal RNA is filed under the name uncultured bacterium. RNAcentral describes it as "partial 16S ribosomal RNA". It matches the Rfam family "Bacterial small subunit ribosomal RNA", at positions 29 to 507 of the family's 1533-position model. The record is from RNAcentral.
AGUGAACGCUGGCGGUAUGCCUAACACAUGCAAGUCGAACGACCGCACGGUAAGCGUGUGCCCUUACUGUUGGCGAGUGACGGGCGGGUGACGAAUAGAUCGCAUUCUUCUUUGUCGUGGGGGAUUACGUGGGGAAACUGACGCUAAUACCGCAUACGACCUACGGGUGAGAUCAGAGGAUCUUCGGACCUUGCGCGAUUGAAUUAGACGAUGUCGGACUAGCUAGUUGGCUUGGUAACGGCCCACCAAGGCGACGAUGCGUAGCUGAUCUGAGAGGAUGAUCGGCCACACUGGAACUGAGACACGGUCCAGACUCCUACGGGAGGCAGCAGUGGGGAAUAUUGGACAAUGGGCGCAAGCCUGAUCCAGCCAUGCCGCGUGAGUGAAGAAGGCCUUCGGGUUGUAAAACCCUUUUGUUGGGAAAGAAAAGCAGCAGGUGAAUACACCGCUGUUCUGACGGUACCUAAAGAAUAAGCACCGGCUAACUUCGUG